AUACGGAGGAUCCAAGCGUUAUCCGGAUUUAUGGUUUAAAGGAGCGUAGAUGGAUGCUUAAGUCAGUUGUGAAAGUUCGGGGCUCAACCCCGUAAUUGCAGUUGAUACUGGAUAUCUUGAGUACAGUUGAGGUAGGCGGAAUUCGUGGUGUAGCGGUGAAAUGCUUAGAUAUCACGAAGAACUCCGAUUGCGAAGGCAGCUUACUAAGCUGUAACUGACAUUGAGGCUCGAAAGUGUGGGUAUC
This 244-nucleotide ribosomal RNA is filed under the name uncultured bacterium. RNAcentral's name for it is "partial 16S ribosomal RNA". It matches the Rfam family "Bacterial small subunit ribosomal RNA", at positions 523 to 769 of the family's 1533-position model. The record is from RNAcentral.